RNAcentral lists this ribosomal RNA (389 nucleotides) under uncultured bacterium. RNAcentral's name for it is "bacterial SSU rRNA". It matches the Rfam family "Bacterial small subunit ribosomal RNA", at positions 30 to 419 of the family's 1533-position model. The record is from RNAcentral.
AUUGAACGCUGGCGGCAUGCCUUACACAUGCAAGUCGAACGGCAGCACGGGAGCAAUCCUGGUGGCGAGUGGCGAACGGGUGAGUAAUAUAUCGGAACGUGCCCAGUCGUGGGGAUAACGUAGCGAAAGCUACGCUAAUACCGCAUACGAUCUAUGGAUGAAAGCGGGGGAUCGCAAGACCUCGCGCGAUUGGAGCGGCCGAUAUCAGAUUAGGUAGUUGGUGAGGUAAAGGCUCGCCAAGCCGACGAUCUGUAGCUGGUCUGAGAGGACGACCAGCCACACUGGGACUGAGACACGGCCCAGACUCCUACGGGAGGCAGCAGUGGGGAAUUUUGGGACAAUGGGCGCAAGCCUGAUCCAGCAAUGCCGCGUGCAGGAUGAAGGCCUUC